GAGGAUAUAGCUCAGUGGUCAUGUGUGUGCUUAGUAUGCACAAGGUCCUGGGUUCAAUCCCCAGUACCUCCA
RNAcentral lists this transfer RNA (72 nucleotides) under Camelus bactrianus (Bactrian camel). It matches the Rfam family "tRNA". From Rfam's summary of the family: Transfer RNA (tRNA) molecules are approximately 80 nucleotides in length. Their secondary structure includes four short double-helical elements and three loops (D, anti-codon, and T loops). Further hydrogen bonds mediate the characteristic L-shaped molecular structure. tRNAs have two regions of fundamental functional importance: the anti-codon, which is responsible for specific mRNA codon recognition, and the 3' end, to which the tRNAs corresponding amino acid is attached (by aminoacyl-tRNA synthetases). tRNAs cope with the degeneracy of the genetic code in two manners: having more than one tRNA (with a specific anti-codon) for a particular amino acid; and 'wobble' base-pairing, i.e. permitting non-standard base-pairing at the 3rd anti-codon position. RNAcentral also lists the same sequence under 1 other name. Lineage: Eukaryota; Metazoa; Chordata; Mammalia; Artiodactyla; Camelidae. The record is from Rfam by way of RNAcentral.